GUCACUUCUUAGCCUUUUGGGCUAAGAUUGAGUACAGUAUCUGAGAAUAAUAUACUAAAUGGAUUUUUGGAGCUAGGAGGUAAAACAGGAGUUUGCUUUGUCCACUCCACACAUCAACCUUGUAUUUCAGAACCUCUGGGAAUGGUGCACCUCCU
RNAcentral lists this small nuclear RNA (155 nucleotides) under Castor canadensis (American beaver). Its description in RNAcentral is "U2 spliceosomal RNA (ENSCCNG00000001009.1)". It matches the Rfam family "U2 spliceosomal RNA". Rfam says of the family: U2 is a small nuclear RNA (snRNA) component of the spliceosome (involved in pre-mRNA splicing). Lineage: Eukaryota; Metazoa; Chordata; Mammalia; Rodentia; Castoridae. The record is from Rfam by way of RNAcentral.